Molecule: transfer RNA, 73 nt
Filed under: Fistulina hepatica ATCC 64428
Lineage: Eukaryota; Fungi; Basidiomycota; Agaricomycetes; Agaricales; Fistulinaceae
Description: tRNA-Arg (TCG) (tRNA-Arg-TCG-1-1, tRNA-Arg-TCG-1-2)
Rfam family: tRNA
About the family: Transfer RNA (tRNA) molecules are approximately 80 nucleotides in length. Their secondary structure includes four short double-helical elements and three loops (D, anti-codon, and T loops). Further hydrogen bonds mediate the characteristic L-shaped molecular structure. tRNAs have two regions of fundamental functional importance: the anti-codon, which is responsible for specific mRNA codon recognition, and the 3' end, to which the tRNAs corresponding amino acid is attached (by aminoacyl-tRNA synthetases). tRNAs cope with the degeneracy of the genetic code in two manners: having more than one tRNA (with a specific anti-codon) for a particular amino acid; and 'wobble' base-pairing, i.e. permitting non-standard base-pairing at the 3rd anti-codon position.
Source: RNAcentral
GGGUCCCUGGCGCAAUGGUUAGCGCAUUCGGCUUCGAACCGAAAGGCUGCAGGUUCGAGUCCUGCGGGGCUCG